Molecule: ribosomal RNA, 732 nt
Filed under: Pythium aphanidermatum
Lineage: Eukaryota; Oomycota; Peronosporomycetes; Pythiales; Pythiaceae
Description: partial large subunit ribosomal RNA
Rfam family: Eukaryotic large subunit ribosomal RNA
Source: RNAcentral
GAAAAGAAACUAACAAGGAUUCCCCUAGUAACGGCGAGUGAAGCGGGAUGAGCUCAAGCUUAAAAUCUCUGUGUCAGUUUGGCAUGGCGAAUUGUAGUCUAUGGAGGCGCUGUCAGUGCGACUAUUCGGGGUAAGUUCCUUGGAAGAGGACAGCAUCGAGGGUGAUACUCCCGUAUGUACCUGUGUAGUUGCGCGUACGACACGUUUUCUUUGAGUCGCGUUGUUUGGGAAUGCAGCGCAAAGUAGGUGGUAAAUUCCAUCUAAAGCUAAAUAUUGGUGCGAGACCGAUAGCGAACAAGUACCGUGAGGGAAAGAUGAAAAGAACUUUGAAAAGAGAGUUAAAGAGUACCUGAAACUGCUGAAAGGGAACCGAAUCGUUUCCAGUGUCUAUAAUCUAUGGCAUAUUUCAUUGGCGCGUGGAUGUGUGUAGCGUUUUGGAAGUAGGUUUCUGCUCCUGGCGUUGCUUUGCGUUCGCUUGCUGGUGCCCUGUGCUGUAGUGGGACGUCAGAGUCAGUUCGUAUGUUGCGGGAAAUGGUUAUUGGGGAGGUAGGUCGCUUCGGUGGCUGUUAUAUCCUGGUAACUAGUCGUCGUGGCUGGGACUGAGGUGCCUACAAUGUGCUUUCGAGUCUGCGGGCCUCUCGUUUGGCUGUUUGCUUUGAUAGCUUGCUAUGUUAGUGAACGUGUCAGGCGAUUGAGACCUGUAGUAACUUGUUGCCGUUCGGGACUGACGAA